This 360-nucleotide ribosomal RNA is filed under the name Dysidea sp. 01-155. RNAcentral describes it as "eukaryotic LSU rRNA". It matches the Rfam family "Eukaryotic large subunit ribosomal RNA", at positions 1 to 353 of the family's 3401-position model. Lineage: Eukaryota; Metazoa; Porifera; Demospongiae; Dictyoceratida; Dysideidae. The record is from RNAcentral.
CUGGACCUCGGAUCAGGCCAGGCUACCCGCUGAAUUUAAGCAUAUCAAUAAGCGGAGGAAAAGAAACUAACAAGGAUUCCCUUAGUAACGGCGAGCGAAGCGGGAAGAGCUCAAAUUUGAAAUCUCCGGUGCCUGCACCGGCGAAUUGUAGUCUGUAGGGCCAGUUUCGCCCGACGCGGUGUCCCCAAAGUCGUCCUGGAAAGGCGGGCCGGAGAGGGUGAGAGCCCCGUGUGCGGGGGCGCCGCGGAAGGUAAGAUCUGUGCCCGAAGAGUCGGGUUGUUUGGGAUUGCAGCCCAAAACGGGUGGUAAACUCCAUCUAAAGCUAAAUACCGGCACGAGACCGAUAGCGAACAAGUACCG